Molecule: ribosomal RNA, 777 nt
Filed under: uncultured Neocallimastigales
Lineage: Eukaryota; Fungi; Neocallimastigomycota; Neocallimastigomycetes; Neocallimastigales
Description: partial large subunit ribosomal RNA
Rfam family: Eukaryotic large subunit ribosomal RNA
Source: RNAcentral
CGUCUAUAUACGUAUAGCAUAUCAAUAAGCGGAGGAAAAGAAACUAACUAGGAUUCCCUCAGUAACGGCGAGUGAAGCGGGAAGAGCUCAAAUUUGAAAUCUUCAAGGUUCUACCUUGACGAAUUGUAGUUUAAAGAAGUGUUUUCUGUUGGAAGUUUUGGUAAAAGUUCUUUGGAAAUAGACAUCAUAAGAGGGUGAGAAUCCCGUAUUUGACCAUUAUUUCCAACUUUGUGAUACACUUUCAAAGAGUCGGAUUGUUUGGGAAUGCAGUCCAAAAUGGGUGGUAAAUUUCAUCUAAAGCUAAAUACUGGCGAAGAGACCGAUAGCGAACAAGUACCGUGAGGGAAAGAUGAAAAGAACUUUGAAAAGAGAGUUAAACAGUACGUGAAAUUGUCAAAAGGGAAGCGUUUGACACCAGUGUUGUUUUCUCGAAAAUCAAUUAAAAAUGGCAGGAUUUUGUGUUGUAUUGACUUUAUCAGCUUUCUGCACUUUUUUCUUAUCUUUUUUAAUGCACUUUUCGUUUAACAAGUCAACAUCAAUUUCUUUUGUUGUAAAAGGGUCAUUGGAAGGUGGCUUUCUUUUCGGAGAAAGUGUUUAUAGCCUUUGACUUCUGCAAUCGGAGAGAUUGAGGUCUGCAGCGUAGAUCCUUCGGGGUUAGAUGCAUUUGUGCUAAGUUAUAGCCUUUCAUAGACAACUUGUUGACUAUGAUCAGUCAUGUAGCUUACUCGCUUAUGUUAUUUUACCUACGCUUAGGAUGUUGAUCUGUAGUGCGUGCGC